RNAcentral lists this long non-coding RNA (2327 nucleotides) under Triticum aestivum (bread wheat). RNAcentral's name for it is "long non-coding RNA (TAES_LNC026878)". The record is from RNAcentral. Lineage: Eukaryota; Viridiplantae; Streptophyta; Magnoliopsida; Poales; Poaceae.
UCCCUUUGUCAUCGACACCAUCCCGCCGUUGCAGGCUUGUCCCCAUGGCCUCUCUCUUGUGAGCUGUUACCCUGCCCUGGUUCUUUGUCUCUGCCUCUUUCAUGGUUUCUUCCUUUCGAAGAUUUCUUUUUUGUCUCCCUUCUAAAGGUAAGUUCUGCCUUAGCAUCCUUCAUGUUGUAACACAAACAAAAUAUUAGUGAUCUGACAGCAACACCAUUUUCUGUUGAGUUAUUUAAUUUAGAUGAUUGCUGCUAUACAACUUGACUGCCAAAGUCUGUAGCAUUUUCUACUUGAUAAAUAAAGAACCAGGUCACACCAUUUUCUUUACUUUAUUAUUCAGAUUAUAUGCAGGAGUUUUGGUGUGGAUUAUAGAUUCUAAAGUUACUCUUAGCUUGUCAGCUUUGUUGAUCCUAAUUUACGAUGUUCACCAAGGAUUAUAGACCAUGGUACCUUCAUCUGUUGUCGACAAUUUCCUCUUUCAGAUUUGAUGUUAGUUUGUACAAGCUAGUGGGUUGUGCUUAGAUGGUAUGGUUUCUCUGCUAUUUAGAAACUACACUUAACACUCAUAAAGUACAAUGAUCGGAUCCUAAACUGAAAUAUUUAUUUUGGCGGGUUUAAAAUUUGAUGUGGGAUGGGCAUACGAGUUUGAUGUUUGCAGUCCUCUCAGAGCUGCAAGUCGCUCGACAACACGACAAAUUCAGUUACAGAUUUUUACCAAAUCUAACUGAAAUAAAGUUCAGUUCAGCAAACCAUGUCUGUUGGAAGGAAGCAAAUUUCUUGCCUUCCGAAUCCUACGUAGCCAUCAUAUUUUAUUUCAGACUGAAUAGUCCCAGCUCAGUGUAUCCUUGCUAAAAUAAGAACAUCAUUUUUUUAGGGGAUGCCACAAAACAAAAACUGACCAGGACUGCAUCUCUCAUAUUUUCUUGCUUAGAUUGUUAAUCUGAAUUCGUGUUUGAUAUUGUAGUAUGGAGGUUUCACCAUGAUGCAUGUUCUGUUGUCGUUUGUUUUCCAACUGCUUUGAUAUUAAUUUACAAGAUAGUAAGUUUUAUACAUGUGGUUGGAUGUCAAUCUUUACAGUUUGAUGACUAGAUUUAUCCAAGGAAGAAAAACUGAUAUUACUAAUUAUGUGAUAUAUAGAUGCAGAUCCGAGUUGCCAUAAUGGAAUAUGGAUGGACAACACAAAAUAGCCCAGUUCCUUAAUUUUGUGUUUGAUGGAAGUAUAUGGUUCAGCCUGUACUGUCCAACAUAAAUUGACACAAACCUGUGCGCGUUUACUCUGAACGGUAAUGUAGUGCAUGAAUGCUACACACUCUCAAUCGCUCCAUUCCAUGUUGGCAACCUACUUCGUUUAAUCAUGAUGAUUUUGCUCGCAGAUAACAAUAGUCUUGCAAGCUUGAUCCCCAUCAUAAAUCGAAUACUCUUGGUAUGCAUUUUGAUUUAGCUUAUUUCUUUCUUUGGAUUCAUUUAUGUAUCAUUGUUUGUUUCCAAGUGGUUGUCACUCGGAUUUCUGAUAACUGUAGUGUGGGUCUUGCCAGAGUGGUGUAAGGUGGUGUUGUUAUGGAACUUUGCAGCUGGUCCUAGAUCGAUUCAACCUCCAUCUGAAUGUUUUAGUUCAUUUAUGCUUUUGAAAUUUUUCUACAGAAUAGUGAGGUUAUAGUUAUUCCCAAACGCCUUGUGGAGAGUAUUCUUAAUUGUAUUCGCUGCUUCGGGUGCUUGUCUAUAUGUCUUAUGAGUAUUCACCUAUAGCUUGAUAUCCUACGAGAGGAGGACAUUUAUACGUGUUUCUCAAUGAUUUUCACUAAACUAUCCAUGCUGUCAUACAGAGAUGCUAACAAACACGACAACAUGAUUAGUGCGCACAGUUCCGUCUCAAGAGACGCGCCCAGGGCGCGUCCCAGCGACUAGUGGUUCUUGUCUAUAUGUAUUCGGGUGCUUGUCUAUAUGUCUUCUAGUCUUCUUCUUCUAACUUUCUUCGGGUGCUUGUCUAUAUGUCUUCUAGUCUUCUUCUAACUUUCUUCUUUCCCAUUUUGUAGAUUUGCUUCAGAUGACGGAAGCUUGGGUUGAUGGAGUGCUUGUCUUUAGUUUUUGUUUUGACUUUGUGAAACUUGCUACCUAUGAUGAAAUUGUGUAAUAUUGACGAAACUAUGUAUAUGUAUGGAUGAAACUUGCUACUAUUGGUAACAUGUGUUGGAUAUGUGUUUGAUAUAUAUGUGUUCAUGACUAUUGGUAAUAUGUGUUGAAUAUGCUAUAUUGGUCAUAUAAAUAUAUUUGUGUUUGAUUUUCUCUGAAAAUGAAUUGAUAUAAGAGAAAACAAAAUUAAAUCGGGU